AGCAAGGCACACGUGGUCUUCAAUGCGAUGGGCGCUUCCAGGGGACCCGGCGUCCCUUGGGUCCAGGAAGUCUUAUACUGUCUCCUCUCACGGCCCCGACAGAAACGGUUUCUGAGGAGUAGAAGUGUCCUAAGUGGAUUGGAAAUUACAAAUGCCGGAAAGAACCUAGGGAUGGAAAGCAGCCCUCAACUUUGACCAACCGCCGUGGGUUAGGUUUACAGUGGGGAAAAAAAAUAGAAAUUGUGCCUGACUUCAAUGACCGCCACUAUUUGAAGCAAACUGCCCAUCCAAGCCUUAUCAUCCCCUUUAACACCCUAAUGUUUCUGUCCAUGUGGACUUCGACGUGGUCCUCUAGAAUGGUUUUGUACUUCCCCGCGGUCUCCUCUGCGGUAGCUCCUCUGAUGAUGGACAAAGAAGGAGAGGCGAAAGGCCAUGAUCAGGGAAGCCUACAGUCUUCUUCCUCACUGCCCAUUGCUGUAGUUUAUGCAGCUACAUGAUGCUUGUUAAGGAAGCUCCCUAGACACCAGUGUCCCAUUGAGAUUUGGCCACGUAUUCUGCAGACCCCACCCCACCCCCCAUGCCGACUAUGUUGCCACAUUUCUCUACCGUACUCAUUUCUUUGCCCCAAUGUCUAUCCGUUCUGACAAGAUUAAAGACAUCAAUCUCAUGUUCCCGUGGCCUGCUCUCAGGUGUGCAGGCACAAACAGGCUCUAUCUUCUGUAUUUCUUUUUUCCUUUUUUUUUGAAACGGAGUCUCGCUCAGUCGCCCAGGCUGGAGGGCAGUGGUGCGAUCUCAGCUCACUGCAGGCUCCGCCUCCCGGGUUCACGCCGUUCUCCUGCCUCAGCCUCCCGAAUAGCUGGGACUACAGGUGCCCGCCACUACGCCCGGCUAAUUUUUUGUGUGUUUUUAGUAGAGGCGGGGUUUCACCAUGUUGGUCUUGAACUCCUGACCUCAGGUGAUCCGCCCGCCUUGGCCUCCCAAAGUGCUGGGAUUACAGGCGUGAGCCACUGCGUCCGGCCCCUGUAUUUCUUUGAAUUGCAAACUUAAGCAAAAGGAUUCUAGCCACAUGUCCAUCUGACACACUCACAUGCAGAUCCUGGCGUCUCUCCCCAGACAUUUGCUUGCUUUCCUCCUAGAGUUUCCUCCUAGUAGCAGGUCCCCUAGCUCCCAGGAUGUUCAGCCUCCUAAAGAGUGGUGGGGCGGCGGUACCCACUUUUCUUCUCUGUCAGCUGUCAGUAGGCUAGGGAUGGAGGGUCUCAUACAGAACAGUUCUCUGGGGGCCUUGAACCAACACAGUUCUUCCCCUUUUCUCACUUGUAGUUCUCGAGAAUAACUGUAGAAUGUGUUGGAAUGCAAUAUACUAUAGACAAGGAGGAACUGACCAGAACAGCCCAGGCUCUGUUCCAGUCUCUUCUAGAAAUAGGAUGUCCUUCAACUAGUACUAGCCCAGCACAUCCCAUUGCCCUGUAGUAAAAACUGAGAGCAGACUGCUUUCUGGGGUCCCUUAGUUGCGGUGCAAGCAGUGCACGAGCAGAUGAGACGCCAUCCUCCCUAAGAAGUUUUCCUCGGCCUUGGGAGAUAUGGUCAUUAUGACAUGCUUCUGUUGUCCCUUGCUGCCUGUCUGUAAGUAAUAAACCCACUUCGUGU
RNAcentral lists this long non-coding RNA (1647 nucleotides) under Homo sapiens (human). Its description in RNAcentral is "non-protein coding lnc-GOPC-1:1". Lineage: Eukaryota; Metazoa; Chordata; Mammalia; Primates; Hominidae. The record is from RNAcentral.